GCAGAUAGUAAACUCUCAAUUAAAAACUUAGUUAAAUUAUAAUAUAAAUAUGUCAUAU
Molecule: transfer RNA, 58 nt
Filed under: Acerentomon microrhinus
Lineage: Eukaryota; Metazoa; Arthropoda; Protura; Acerentomata; Acerentomidae
Description: tRNA-Lys
Source: RNAcentral